Long non-coding RNA from Ictalurus punctatus (channel catfish), 2555 nucleotides. RefSeq lists it as uncharacterized. The record is from RefSeq and is a predicted model, not a curated record. The transcript has 9 exons. NCBI's taxonomy places the organism in Eukaryota, Metazoa, Chordata, Actinopteri, Siluriformes, Ictaluridae.
ACGAAGACCCUACUUAGUAAAGGACUGUGUGUAAUCUGCACAUGCGCAUUAGCUCUAUUACCUAUUAGCGGAUUAAUAAGCUUUAAAACAAAGAGGUGAAGUUUCGUUCAAUUAGGCAUUAAAAUUGAUAUUUGAUUAUAAGUUAAAAUUAACAGAAAAUGUAAGUGUACAAAAAGUGACUGGUAAGUUAACAGCCUAAUUAGACUGUUAGAAGGUUAGCUUGUUAGCAUAAGCUAAACAUUAAUAAGUCAGAACAGAUAUUUUUCAUGGUUUCCAAAUAAUUAUAAGUCUUAAAGAGUCAUUAAAGUUUCAGUCUUUAAAUUUUCGCAUAGCGAAAUUAGACUAUUUUAAAAUCUCUCAACAUUAAAACGAAAUCCUUAAGUCGGGUUGUGGCGGAGUGUAGUUUUUUGACUGCACUAAUAGUUCGUAAACGCCACACAGGAAGUAGGAAAAGAACUACAUUUCCCAUCUGCCCCGGCCGUCACAGGCUAAUAGCACCAGCUGCUUUCCAUUACCCUAAUGAGGGCUUCAACUGCUGCAACGAGACCAAAUACAACGAAAUGCCGUGGUGUCUCGGAGAAGAGGAAUAAUUUAUGUUGUGUUGUAUUUAUGUUUGAUUUCCGGUGGAAGAGAAGAACAUGGGGUAUCGAUGCUGCAAAAGAAGACGGAUCUUUUGGUAGGCUGGUUAACGAUGACCACAAGCACCCAAAUGGCAGAAGACUGAAGUGGAUGGAAGCCCACAUCUUUUGUCUGUUUGCUUUAACAGACUUUAAAGAAGGAGAUGAAAUUACCUACAAUUACGGAGGAACGGACUGGCCUUGGCGUAGCAAGCAGAUUAUGGAGGAGGACACUGCUGAGAGCAAUGGCCAGGAGAAACGGCAGCCAUCACAGUCUACACCUUUUCUGGAUCAGAACACUGCGAGCGGUCCAUCAGCGACUGAACAGUUCUUUUUGCAGAGGAGAUGGAGCUAAUCAGCGAUGAAAUAAUGAGUGAGGAAGGUGAGACGUGAAGAACUUGAAGGUAAAACAUCUACUCUGUAAAAGAGGAAGGCUUGGGAAGUAAAUGAGGUCCAUGCAGUGGAGAGACGUAUGAAGACCUUCAUCUUGUCAUGUCGUGUCCCAGGUGAGCUGGCCUGUGAAAACUGCAUUAGAUCUGAGCCUUUAGCUCUGAAAGAAAGUACUGUGUCCAGUAAGCCCACCACUCCAUCCACUCCGGCCAUGUGCAAAUUCAGACCAUCGUUUGGCACAAUGCCUAAAGUGCACUACCACGCCACGGGAGAGAAGGUCUCGAUGUCUGAGGACUCCAAAUCGACAGCCAUCUUGGAAGAGCGAGCUCACGACUAUCGCUCCGAUUUCCAGGAUUACGGCGGUGCAGAAGUUCCUCCCCUUCAUCGCCACUUCAUGUCGUCUCCGUUCCAGCUCGACUCGUACAUCCUGAAACACGCCGGCCGUAGGGAGGAACCCGCGAAGCUAGGGGGAGUCAAACCUGAGUCGGUGAUGUCCACGCCUCACAGGGGCGUGUUUGCCCCGGGACAAUGUCCCGCCGUAACGCCAGUCUGUCCUACGACAGCUUAUUAACACCAAACAUUGCCAUGGCGACCUCUGUGCUAUGAUAACCUCUCCAAAACCAUCAUGGCGUCCAUCCAGGAGUGGAAAGAGCUGGAGGAGAGGGAGAGGCUCAUUCGGGCGUCUUUGACGGACAUUUUCUCGCCUCCAGAGGGUCUCGGGACGAACUCACCAGGGUCGGGGUGAUGUCCUUCGGUCCUCGCGUCCUCCACUCCUCGGCGUCGUCGCUGGUCUGAGUUCCCUGAGUGUCCACUUCCUCUCUACACGACGAGGCGGGAAACGUCCUUUAUCGCUCGCCGUCCCAUCAGCCUCCCCUCUCCAUCCACGUUCUCCCUCCGUCUCUCAUCACAAACGGUCCUACAUCAGCGCCGUGUAGAGAGCCGAAUCACCUCACCUGGGCCGCAGGGAGGAAACGAAUCGAGCGAAAGUUAACGGACAGCCUAAAGGGCAGACGCGAGACUGCCACCCAGUGUCGUCCUCCGGAACACCGCUCAGCCCGAGCGUCAAAAAGGUGACAGGAGUGGGUGGGACAAUGUACGAUACCAGGAAUAGCCAAUCCAUUCGCGAGGAAGUACUGCCAUAGCGACCGACACUACCACCAGUGGCCGAGCCUCUCUUUCAGGACACCAAAGCCUACCAAUCGGAGCCAAUCAGGUGCGGACGGGCCAAUCAGAGCAGGUCUUACACCAUUCUGGUCCAAUCAGAGGAGGUCUCUCAAUGUCUCCGGGUGCUUUCAGUUGGUGAUCACCGCAUCUCGGGCGGGGCUAAGCCAUUUCCUUUGUGUGUGUGUGUGUGUGUGUGUGUGUGUGUGUGUGUGUGUGUGUGUGUGUGUGUGUUUCAAAUCAGGAGUUUUCAUGGAUCCCUUUAUUCCUGGAGAAAAUUGGUUUAAAAAGGUAAAAAGGAAAACAAUCCCCUCUGAAAGGGCUGAAGUGUCCGUUAACUGUGUGAAUGAAAAUAAUCAGUAGAAUUAAAAUGUUGAAGUUUCCUUG